This 34-nucleotide small RNA is filed under the name Bombyx mori (domestic silkworm). Its description in RNAcentral is "ovarian small RNA-30471". The record is from RNAcentral. Lineage: Eukaryota; Metazoa; Arthropoda; Insecta; Lepidoptera; Bombycidae.
UGAAAGAGGUAUGCUGUCAAAGACCUAUGGUCGU